This 448-nucleotide ribosomal RNA is filed under the name uncultured soil bacterium. RNAcentral describes it as "bacterial SSU rRNA". It matches the Rfam family "Bacterial small subunit ribosomal RNA", at positions 26 to 518 of the family's 1533-position model. The record is from RNAcentral.
AGAACGAACGCUGGCGGCAUGCCUAAUACAUGCAAGUCGAACGAACACUUCGGUGUUAGUGGCGCACGGGUGCGUAACGCGUGGGAAUCUGCCCUUGGGUUCGGAAUAACAGUUGGAAACGACUGCUAAUACCGGAUGAUGACGAAAGUCCAAAGAUUUAUCGCCCAGGGAUGAGCCCGCGUAGGAUUAGCUAGUUGGUGAGGUAAAGGCUCACCAAGGCGACGAUCCCUAGCUGGUCUGAGAGGAUGAUCAGCCACACUGGGACUGAGACACGGCCCAGACUCCUACGGGAGGCAGCAGUAGGGAAUAUUGGACAAUGGGCGCAAGCCUGAUCCAGCAAUGCCGCGUGAGUGAUGAAGGCCUUAGGGUGUAAAGCUCUUUACCGAGAUGAUAAUGACAGUAUCGGGAAGAAUAAGCCCCGGCUAACCUCCGCGCCAAGCCAGCCGAC